AUGGCGACGGUGGAGGAGAAGCGGACGUCACCGGAGUCCGGGGCCGCGGAGGAGCCUGCGGAGCUGCCGGCUGCCGUACGAGCGAGCGUGGAGCGGAAGCGGCAGCGGGCGCUGAUGCUACGCCAGGCCCGGCUGGCGGCGCGGCCGUACCCGGCGGCGGCGGCGGCCACCGGAGAUGUGGCCAGUGUAAAAGCAGCUCCCAAAAUGAUUGACACCAAAGGUGGCUUCAUUUUAGAAGAGGAAGAAGAGAAACACGAGAUUGGAAAUGUUGUUCAUGAACCAGGGCCUGUCAUGGAGUUUGACUACACUAUCUGUGAAGAAUGUGGGAAAGAGUUCAUGGACUCGUAUCUUAUGAACCACUUUGAUUUGCCAACUUGUGAUAGCUGCAGAGAUGCUGAUGAUAAACACAAGCUUAUAACCAAAACAGAAGCCAAGCAAGAAUACCUUCUGAAGGACUGUGACUUAGAGAAAAGAGAGCCAGCGCUCAGGUUCAUUGUGAAGAAGAACCCUCGGCAUUCACAGUGGGGCGAUAUGAAGCUCUACUUAAAGCUACAGGUUGUAAAGCGGGCUCUUGAAGUUUGGGGUAGCCAGGAAGCUCUGGAAGAUGCAAAGGAAGUGAGGCAGGAAAACCGAGAAAAAAUGAAGCAGAAGAAGUUUGAUAAAAAAGUAAAAGCACUUGGUGGAUAUGUUCCUGUCCUGACUAGGCCACAGAGGGCUGAGUGGAGUAGACUGUAGAGUAGAAACGAGGAGCUGACUGUACAGUUUGCUCAGAACAGAGAGGAGUCAAAGCAAGUCUAAAGGCUUUUUAGUUGGAAAGAAUUGGAACAUGGUUCCUCUUGAUGCACAGCGAAGCUGACUAAAGCUUUCUUCUUUAUGGGAAGAAUUGCGGCGAGCAAUAAGAAGCAGUGUAUGGAAAAGAGAAACAACCGCUCACCAACAUGAAUACGGACCGGAGGAAAACUUAGAAGACGACAUGUACCGCAAGACUUGUA
Molecule: RNA transcript, 992 nt
Organism: Grammomys surdaster
Lineage: Eukaryota; Metazoa; Chordata; Mammalia; Rodentia; Muridae
Gene: Xpa
Gene name: XPA, DNA damage recognition and repair factor
Exons: 7
Source: RefSeq, a predicted model, not a curated record